UGUACAACUCUGAGCGGCGUAUCACACGGCUCGCAC
RNAcentral lists this ribosomal RNA (36 nucleotides) under Flustrellidra hispida. RNAcentral's name for it is "partial 5.8S ribosomal RNA". Lineage: Eukaryota; Metazoa; Bryozoa; Gymnolaemata; Ctenostomatida; Flustrellidridae. The record is from RNAcentral.